GGUUAAGCGACUAAGCGUACACGGUGGAUGCCCUGGCAGUCAGAGGCGAUGAAGGACGUGCUAAUCUGCGAUAAGCGUCGGUAAGGUGAUAUGAACCGUUAUAACCGGCGAUUUCCGAAUGGGGAAACCCAGUGUGUUUCGACACACUAUCAUUAACUGAAUCCAUAGGUUAAUGAGGCGAACCGGGGGAACUGAAACAUCUAAGUACCCCGAGGAAAAGAAAUCAACCGAGAUUCCCCCAGUAGCGGCGAGCGAACGGGGAGGAGCCCAGAGCCUGAAUCAGUGUGUGUGUUAGUGGAAGCGUCUGGAAAGGCGCGCGAUACAGGGUGACAGCCCCGUACACAAAAAUACACAUAUUGUGAGCUCGAUGAGUAGGGCGGGACACGUGGUAUCCUGUCUGAAUAUGGGGGGACCAUCCUCCAAGGCUAAAUACUCCUGACUGACCGAUAGUGAACCAGUACCGUGAGGGAAAGGCGAAAAGAACCCCGGCGAGGGGAGUGAAAAAGAACCUGAAACCGUGUACGUACAAGCAGUGGGAGCCUCUUUAUGGGGUGACUGCGUACCUUUUGUAUAAUGGGUCAGCGACUUAUAUUCUGUAGCAAGGUUAACCGAAUAGGGGAGCCGAAGGGAAACCGAGUCUUAACUGGGCGUUAAGUUGCAGGGUAUAGACCCGAAACCCGGUGAUCUAGCCAUGGGCAGGUUGAAGGUUGGGUAACACUAACUGGAGGACCGAACCGACUAAUGUUGAAAAAUUAGCGGAUGACUUGUGGCUGGGGGUGAAAGGCCAAUCAAACCGGGAGAUAGCUGGUUCUCCCCGAAAGCUAUUUAGGUAGCGCCUCGUGAAUUCAUCUCCGGGGGUAGAGCACUGUUUCGGCAAGGGGGUCAUCCCGACUUACCAACCCGAUGCAAACUGCGAAUACCGGAGAAUGUUAUCACGGGAGACACACGGCGGGUGCUAACGUCCGUCGUGAAGAGGGAAACAACCCAGACCGCCAGCUAAGGUCCCAAAGUCAUGGUUAAGUGGGAAACGAUGUGGGAAGGCCCAGACAGCCAGGAUGUUGGCUUAGAAGCAGCCAUCAUUUAAAGAAAGCGUAAUAGCUCACUGGUCGAGUCGGCCUGCGCGGAAGAUGUAACGGGGCUAAACCAUGCACCGAAGCUGCGGCAGCGACACUAUGUGUUGUUGGGUAGGGGAGCGUUCUGUAAGCCUGUGAAGGUGGCCUGUGAGGGUUGCUGGAGGUAUCAGAAGUGCGAAUGCUGACAUAAGUAACGAUAAAGCGGGUGAAAAGCCCGCUCGCCGGAAGACCAAGGGUUCCUGUCCAACGUUAAUCGGGGCAGGGUGAGUCGACCCCUAAGGCGAGGCCGAAAGGCGUAGUCGAUGGGAAACAGGUUAAUAUUCCUGUACUUGGUGUUACUGCGAAGGGGGGACGGAAGAAGGCUAUGUUGGCCGGGCGACGGUUGUCCCGGUUUAAGCGUGUAGGCUGGUUUUCCAGGCAAAUCCGGAAAACCAAGGCUGAGGCGUGAUGACGAGGCACUACGGUGCUGAAGCGACAAAUGCCCUGCUUCCAGGAAAAGCCUCUAAGCAUCAGGUAACAUCAAAUCGUACCCCAAACCGACACAGGUGGUCAGGUAGAGAAUACCAAGGCGCUUGAGAGAACUCGGGUGAAGGAACUAGGCAAAAUGGUGCCGUAACUUCGGGAGAAGGCACGCUGAUAUGUAGGUGAAGCGACUUGCUCGUGGAGCUGAAAUCAGUCGAAGAUACCAGCUGGCUGCAACUGUUUAUUAAAAACACAGCACUGUGCAAACACGAAAGUGGACGUAUACGGUGUGACGCCUGCCCGGUGCCGGAAGGUUAAUUGAUGGGGUUAGCGGUAACGCGAAGCUCUUGAUCGAAGCCCCGGUAAACGGCGGCCGUAACUAUAACGGUCCUAAGGUAGCGAAAUUCCUUGUCGGGUAAGUUCCGACCUGCACGAAUGGCGUAAUGAUGGCCAGGCUGUCUCCACCCGAGACUCAGUGAAAUUGAACUCGCUGUGAAGAUGCAGUGUACCCGCGGCAAGACGGAAAGACCCCGUGAACCUUUACUAUAGCUUGACACUGAACAUUGAGCCUUGAUGUGUAGGAUAGGUGGGAGGCUUUGAAGUGUGGACGCCAGUCUGCAUGGAGCCGACCUUGAAAUACCACCCUUUAAUGUUUGAUGUUCUAACGUUGGCCCGUAAUCCGGGUUGCGGACAGUGUCUGGUGGGUAGUUUGACUGGGGCGGUCUCCUCCUAAAGAGUAACGGAGGAGCACGAAGGUUGGCUAAUCCUGGUCGGACAUCAGGAGGUUAGUGCAAUGGCAUAAGCCAGCUUGACUGCGAGCGUGACGGCGCGAGCAGGUGCGAAAGCAGGUCAUAGUGAUCCGGUGGUUCUGAAUGGAAGGGCCAUCGCUCAACGGAUAAAAGGUACUCCGGGGAUAACAGGCUGAUACCGCCCAAGAGUUCAUAUCGACGGCGGUGUUUGGCACCUCGAUGUCGGCUCAUCACAUCCUGGGGCUGAAGUAGGUCCCAAGGGUAUGGCUGUUCGCCAUUUAAAGUGGUACGCGAGCUGGGUUUAGAACGUCGUGAGACAGUUCGGUCCCUAUCUGCCGUGGGCGCUGGAGAACUGAGGGGGGCUGCUCCUAGUACGAGAGGACCGGAGUGGACGCAUCACUGGUGUUCGGGUUGUCAUGCCAAUGGCACUGCCCGGUAGCUAAAUGCGGAAGAGAUAAGUGCUGAAAGCAUCUAAGCACGAAACUUGCCCCGAGAUGAGUUCUCCCUGAGACUUAGAGUCUCCUGAAGGAACGUUGAAGACGACGACGUUGAUAGGCCGGGUGUGUAAGCGCAGCGAUGCGUUGAGCUAACCGGUACUAAUGAACCGUGAGGCUUAACCUU
RNAcentral lists this ribosomal RNA (2905 nucleotides) under Escherichia coli. RNAcentral's name for it is "23S ribosomal RNA". It matches the Rfam family "Bacterial large subunit ribosomal RNA". Lineage: Bacteria; Pseudomonadati; Pseudomonadota; Gammaproteobacteria; Enterobacterales; Enterobacteriaceae. The record is from RNAcentral.